CCGGGACCGCACGCGCAAUACAUUGAAGGAGGCAGCGUGUUGACCCUGUCCGAAAGGAUUGGGUUAUCCUGUGAAACUCCUUCGUGCUUGGGAUAGAGAUUUGAAACUGUCUCUCUUGAACGAGGAAUUCCCAGUAAGCACGAGUCAUAAUCUCAUGUUGACUGAGUCCCUGGCCCUUGUGCACACCGCCCGUCGCCAAGAGCGAUUGAAUGUGUUAGUGAGAUCGUCGGACAGGUCGCUGGUCUGGGCUCUAGGGUUCGGACCGGUGCGCCGGAAAGACGAUCGAACUUGUCCAUUUAGAGCACUUGAAAGUCGUAACAAGGUAACC
This 328-nucleotide ribosomal RNA is filed under the name Patu sp. SYMP-001-DR. Its description in RNAcentral is "bacterial SSU rRNA". It matches the Rfam family "Eukaryotic small subunit ribosomal RNA", at positions 1481 to 1804 of the family's 1831-position model. The record is from RNAcentral. Lineage: Eukaryota; Metazoa; Arthropoda; Arachnida; Araneae; Symphytognathidae.